This 217-nucleotide non-coding RNA is filed under the name Mus musculus (house mouse). Its description in RNAcentral is "Eukaryotic large subunit ribosomal RNA". It matches the Rfam family "Eukaryotic large subunit ribosomal RNA", at positions 967 to 1170 of the family's 3401-position model. The record is from Rfam by way of RNAcentral. Lineage: Eukaryota; Metazoa; Chordata; Mammalia; Rodentia; Muridae.
UUUCCCUCAGGAUAGCUGGCGCUCUCGCUCUUCCCGACACACGCAGUUUUAUCCGGUAAAGCGAAUGAUUAGAGGUCUUGGGGCCGAAAGGAUCUCAACCUAUUCUCAAACUUUAAAUGGGUAAGAAGCCCGGCUCGCUGGCAUGGAGCCGGGCGUGGAAUGCGAGUGCCUAGUGGGCCACUUUUGGUAAGCAGAACGGGCGCUGCGGGAUGAACCG